RNAcentral lists this ribosomal RNA (443 nucleotides) under uncultured bacterium. RNAcentral describes it as "partial 16S ribosomal RNA". It matches the Rfam family "Bacterial small subunit ribosomal RNA", at positions 42 to 482 of the family's 1533-position model. The record is from RNAcentral.
UCNGNCNUCACAUGCAAGUCGAGCGGUAACAGGACCAGCNUGNUGGUUGNUGACGAGGGCGGACGGGUGAGUAAUGNGCAGAGAUUUACCCGAUAGUUGGGGAUAGCCCGGAGAAAUCCGGAUUAAUACCGAAUAAGCUCUUUGGAGGAAAGUGGGGGACCUUUUGGGGCCUCACGNUAUUGGAUGAGUNUGCGUCGGAUUAGCUGGUUGGUGGGGUAAAGGCCUACCAAGGCGACGAUCCGUAGCUGGUCUGAGAGGAUGAUCAGCCACACUGGGACUGAGACACGGCCCAGACUCCUACGGGAGGCAGCAGUGGGGAAUAUUGGACAAUGGGGGCAACCNUGAUCCAGCCAUGCCGCGUGUGUGAAGAAGGCUUUCGGGUUGUAAAGCACUUUCAGGUGAGGAAGGGUGUUGUUAAUAUCAGCAUACAUUGACGNCNCAGC